This is a long non-coding RNA of Anguilla rostrata (American eel), 638 nucleotides long. RefSeq lists it as uncharacterized. Lineage: Eukaryota; Metazoa; Chordata; Actinopteri; Anguilliformes; Anguillidae. The transcript has 3 exons. The record is from RefSeq and is a predicted model, not a curated record.
UGUUUUGCGCUAGCGGUGAGCACAGCUGCGUUACGAUGACAGCCUCGCGCUUUUUCAGUAAAAGAGACGUCAUUUACAAGCUUCAAUAAACGUGCAUCGGGAAGAGAUAAGACGGCGAUAUGUGUUGGUGUGCGUGGUGGUGAGGGGGCCCCCUGCAGGCCGUACAGGGGAUCAUGUUGCCCAGGAGAUGGCGGCGCUGUGCUCCUUGGCCUUCAUGCGAAGCGCAGCGAUGCUGGACGACUUGCGGUCGGGGUCCAUGUUGAGGUCGUAGCCGUUGAUGCCGCCGCCCAUCCCCGGACUGCCGAACAGGCCACCCAUGUGCGUCUGUCCCAUGUGGCCCCCGGGACUCUGUACGCCCAGGAAGUCGGACACCCCGCCGGCGUGCGGGUGGGGGGUCAUACAGGGGGUGACGGUGUCGCAUGGCAUCACGCAGCCUGGCACGGGAGAUGCAGCGCUGCUGCCCCCUAUCCAAGAAGGACUCUGGAUCUGGAACACAGCAGAGCAGGAAGGGGCAUGACCCUGCCCCCAUGACCCCAGUGUUCCAUAACCCCUGAUCCUUGACCUAUCCUCAGAGUACCUGUGCAUAGUUCUCAGCGCGGGUAAGGAGAGGAAGCUCGUAGGCUGUAGAGAAGUGCGUG